Non-coding RNA from Araneus ventricosus, 74 nucleotides. The record is from the annotation of a GenBank genome assembly. NCBI's taxonomy places the organism in Eukaryota, Metazoa, Arthropoda, Arachnida, Araneae, Araneidae.
GGUGCUGUGUCUUAGUUGGUUAUACCGCCUGUCUAGUAAACAGGACAUCGUGAGUUCGAAUAUCGCCUGUGCCU